AGACCCCAUCAUUUUAUAAGGAUAGUUGGGGUUAUGUUUUCCAGUGUGCAUUACUUAGCAUUUAUCAGCACUGAAUUUCAUCUGCCAUUUUGUUGCCCAGUCACUCAGUGGGGCAGAGUGAUACACCACCUUUCCAAGUGGAAAAAAUUGAAGGCUUCAUGCUUUUUAUUCUCUCUGAGCACUGUUGGCUUUACUCCACAGCUCACUUCAUUGUUCUCCCCUGACCUCCCAAUGUGUCUGCUCUCUCACAGAGUGGCUUCAAGAUGGCAGCAGAGGGGAACAGAUUAUAUCAUGAGCUCAGACCAGGGAAGAAGUUUUUGGUAGGAUGGAGUAAGUGGAGACCCAGAAUGGGACUAUCUUAUACAUCUAGUUUCAGAAAAUUCUUUUUUAGCACAGCAUUCCCUAAACCCAUAUAAAAUAGCUUUCUCCAAGGCAAUAUUUACCUCAGAAUUGAGUAGUUUCCAAAGGGUGAGAUUUAACCACGUUUAAUACUGUGCAGAAUUUGUAGUUUGGUUUUGUCUUUCCAUUAGGGUGGAUGUGACAAAUCUGGCUUUCUGUUUUUGCCAUUAGUUUUAUUAAUGAAAGCAUAAAGUGCAUAAUCAUUCAAGAAAUUAACAUUAUACUAUUGUUCAUUGGGGUCCAGAUUGCAAUACCCUUGCUCACACUGAGUAGUCUCUGAUUCCACAAGUAGUCCCAUUGACUUCAGUGGCACUAUUCAUGUAUUGGUCGACAUAAGUCAAUAUAUCAAUUUGGCCCUUACUGAAAAUUUUACCCUCUUGUUGAUCGUGCUGUGUGCAAGAGCAGAUACAGUCUUUGUGGCACUCUGCCAUAGGUAUUUGUACGCUGUGCCACUAAGCCUUCCCUUUUGUUUUAUAAUUACAUUUUUUCAUUUUAAAAAAGCCUUCAGAAUAAAGCAUUAAACCCCAGUUCUUCAAGCAUUAAACCCUUUGUGUACUCAGAGCCCUAUUGGAAUUCAUUAGGGCUCUAUGAAGGCACUGAAGUUAACAGCUUGGAGGAUUGAGGCCAGAGAUUGUACUAAGAACACUCCAGAUUAGUAAAACUAAAAGAGGUUUAUGUCAAAUUUGCUCUUCACCAUUUAUGAUGUUUACAUUUUUGGAAUUUCUCUCUGGUGGAGCAUGAAAACAUUCCAUUUCACUUUUUUCCUAGUUAGUUUCACUUUGUUUCUCCUGCACAAGAACUGCAAGGCUUUCCUCCUGGGGGCAUUCUGCACCAAAAAAAUCACCCAAUAUUUUAAAAUUCUGCAAAUGUUAUUUGUCAACAUAACACUACAUAAUCACACGAGUUUGUUAUUUUGGUAAUUUAUUUCAAAAUACCUGUCAGCAAGUGUGUCUGUAACAACACAGACAUACAAAAUUUCUUCCAGGAGCAGAGAGUUAAAGAAACCCCUAUGACAACCCAGUUCCUGUUUCUCUGCCCCCCUCCUCCCACACCCCAGAGUCCAAUCAGGGGGCCAGACAACUACAACCCCUCUGCCCCAGAGCCCAGCCACAGUGCCCCUCCAGCCAAUACACCCACCCCCCUUUCCCCCCCCCCAUGCCCAGCUGUGGGCCCCACCGGCCCAGAUCGCUGCACCCCAUCUCCCUACCCAUGCCCUCCCCCUUGCCUAGACACCCAACCCCCUCCCCCGCCCAGGGAGCCAGAGGGAGAAACAGCCUGAUGCUUGGUCCCAGGCUUGCAUGAAGUUUCCUGUGCACCGCUGUCUCCUUUUCUCAGGGCAUGCUGGGAACUGCAGCUGCCAGGAAACCUCUAGCUCCCUCCCUUUGACAGUGUCUUACAUGUGCGAGCUGAACUCUGCUGGGUCCAGCAGCCCAUAGUGGUGGCCAGAAGGACUGCAGCCCAUUUCUGUUGGGGAAAGGAAAUUCUGUGUGCACAAUAAUUGCUGCUAAAUUCUGCAUUGCGCAGUGGUGCAAAAUUCCCCCAGGAGUAAGGCCUGGGUUGCAAAAGUGUAAGUGAUUUGUUUUUUAAUAAACUGCUUUGAUUAGAAUUGCUUGAAAAUGAACUCUUCUGUUACCGUUAAGUUAUUUAAAACUCUUUAUUUGUAAGAAAAAAAUUACAAUGUGUGUAUACAUAUACAUCUCCUCUGUCCUCCCACUCCCAACAUAAACAUUCAUCAGGCUGUGCAGUAACACUAUUGUCCUUUGCAUUGAAAUCAAACACAAUUAAACUCCAAGAAAUAUAGCAUGAAAGGAAGGGGAUUAACUGUAAUCUACCCUCUCUGGCCAAUCCAAACCAUAAAAAUGUAUGCAAGGACUUCAGAUAAUGGGCUGUUCCCACAGGUUCUCCUUUCAGGUGUCAUUUAAAAUGUUUAAAGUUUUUUUUUAUCCUUCCUCUUAGGCAAAUCCUUCCAAAACAAAACCACCUACAGCUCCCCUGCCACCUCCUCAAAAAAUAAAAUUAGCAACUGCCUGAAUUUGAUUGGUGACAGUUGUUAUGGGUGUUAAAAGUAACAAGUGUCAUAAUAUAGUUACAAAAAGUUAUAACCUUUAAGCACAAACAUAUGAAAAAAGAAAUGGAAAGGUUUGUUUCUCAGUAAUUCAAUAUAACUUCUAUUAAAAAUAAAUGAAAAAGACUAUGUUGGAGGAAGGAUAUUUCUCAACUACAGACUGCCACCAUUCAAGAUAAGAUAUUUACUUCUUUACUGUAGCUGAGAUAUGAGAGCUAGGGCUGGAGUGUGAUGUAAUAGGGCUGAGAGCACAGGUGUGUGCUCUCUGAAAUACCUAGGGUCAGGGCUGGUCACAGGAACCUGGAGUAGAAAAAGCAGCCUGUAAAAUCUUUUUAUAAUAUAUAUAAAUAAAAUUAACAGUUUGGGUUGAAUUUGACUUGAGUAUCUAUUUGAGGAUUACAUUCCCUCACCCCUCCUCCCAUUAGUGUAUAAUGUGGAAUAGAGCUCUAGGGUAAAGUAAUCUGCUCCCACUGAGCAGAGAGAAGUCAAUGAAGUUGCUCUGGUGUACACGGAACAUAACAUGGCCAAAUGCGUUUCUUUUCAAGUUCAUACUAGACAUGGUACCUCACAGAAUUCAAAGGACCACUGAUGUCAGGUUUUCUUCUAGAAGUUUCUUUCCACAUUCUGAUUCCAUCCAUUGUCAUCUGUGUCUUGGGGCAGGGUUGUUGCACGGUGUUUGCUAUUCCCCCUCAUACCUUUUCUAGAGAAUACAGCAGUGUGCACUUUGCUAGUGUUGAUAUUAGAGGAAGAGCAGUUCUACAGCAUUUGGACCCAGUGCAACUAUCGCUGAGGGAACCAUAUAGUGACCUGACCAGCAGGCCAAGUCAUGAAGGGGGAAGAAUACCCUGCGUCAGAGGAUGAUAUGAGAGAGAGAGAGUGCCAGAGGAGGGAGAAAUGCCUGGCCAGAGCUAAUUCCCAGAGCGACUAGGAGGAGGUGCCACUAAUGAUAAAGUUUGAUAUGAAAAAAUAUGGUACCUUGCUCACUUACGCAGAAAUCACCAGAACUCCAAAAGUGGCACCAGUACUGCAUACCAUACGCUCUUCCUGACCCAGAUACCCAAGAACGUGGCGGGGAGGCUCUGAGCACGCAGCCACUCCACUUCAGAGGAUGGCCAAAGCAACAGAAGGCUGUCAUUCAAACAGUUUGCUUAUUGUAGCCGCACUAAAAAUCAAUGUGGCCAUGUUCUUCCCUCUUCCCCCAC
Molecule: long non-coding RNA, 3666 nt
Organism: Mauremys reevesii (Reeves's turtle)
Lineage: Eukaryota; Metazoa; Chordata; Testudines; Geoemydidae
Exons: 4
Source: RefSeq, a predicted model, not a curated record